Non-coding RNA from Stenotrophomonas chelatiphaga, 144 nucleotides. The record is from Rfam. Lineage: Bacteria; Pseudomonadati; Pseudomonadota; Gammaproteobacteria; Lysobacterales; Lysobacteraceae.
UCGCCAGCCGCAGUUCCCAACCGGUCCUACUCCCCAAGAGGCCAUCCCCAUGGGAGCUCACGCUGCGGGGCCCUGAGCAAGCCCACCGCUGGCUUUAAAAUGACACAGGCCUGGUCCGGAGGGACCAGGCCUGUGUUUUUUCAG